UGGGGAAUAUUGCACAAUGGGCGAAAGCCUGAUGCAGCAACGCCGCGUGAGCGAUGAAGGCCUUUGGGUCGUAAAGCUCUGUCCUAGGGGACGAAAAAAAUGACGGUACCCUUGGAGGAAGCCCCGGCUAACUACGUGCCAGCAGCCGCGGUAAUACGUAGGGGGCGAGCGUUAUCCGGAAUUAUUGGGCGUAAAGAGUACGUAGGUGGUCUUUUAAGCGCAGGGUUUAAGGCAAUGGCUUAACCAUUGUUCGCCCUGUGAACUGGGAGACUUGAGUGCAGGAGAGGAAAGCGGAAUUCCUAGUGUAGCGGUGAAAUGCGUAGAUAUUAGGAGGAACACCAGUGGCGAAGGCGGCUUUCUGGACUGUAACUGACACUGAGGUACGAAAGCGUGGGGAGCAAACA
Molecule: ribosomal RNA, 404 nt
Filed under: uncultured prokaryote
Description: bacterial SSU rRNA
Rfam family: Bacterial small subunit ribosomal RNA
Source: RNAcentral